This is a non-coding RNA of Schistosoma curassoni, 46 nucleotides long. The record is from Rfam. Lineage: Eukaryota; Metazoa; Platyhelminthes; Trematoda; Strigeidida; Schistosomatidae.
ACACUGUUGGGGAGUCCCACAAUAGGACGAAACGGCCGUCCAGUGC